Molecule: ribosomal RNA, 1535 nt
Filed under: metagenome
Description: bacterial SSU rRNA
Rfam family: Bacterial small subunit ribosomal RNA
Source: RNAcentral
UGAGUUUGAUUCUGGCUCAGAACGAACGCUGGCAGCGUGGAUUAGGCAUGCAAGUCGAACGGGAACCUACGGGUUCAAGUUUUCGAACGAGAACCUGUGGGGGAUAGUGGCGAAAGGGUGAGUAACGCGUGGGUAAUCUGCCUCUAAGUUGGGGAUAACGGUUGGAAACGGCCGAUAAUACCGAAUGUGGUCUCCCGAGGCAUCUCGGGGUGACUAAAGGUGGGGACCCUUCGGGGCCUGCCGCUUGGAGAGGAACCCGCGUACCAUCAGCUUGUUGGUGGGGUAACGGCCUACCAAGGCUUACGGUUAGCUGGUCUGAGAGGAUGGUCAGCCACACUGGGACUGAGACACUGCCCAGACUCCUACGGGAGGCUGCAGUCGAGGAUCAUUGUCAAUGCGCGAAAGCGUGAACAUGCGACGCUGCGUGGAGGAUGACGGCCUUCGGGUUGUAAACUCCUGUCAUUCGGGACAAAUUGUCCGGCCCCUAAUACGGGUUGGGCUUGAUGGUACCGGAAGAGGAAGCCACGGCUAACUCUGUGCCAGCAGCCGCGGUAAUACAGAGGUGGCGAGCGUUGUUCGGAUUUACUGGGCGUAAAGGGUGCGUAGGUGGCAACGUGUGUCGAGUGUGAAAGCCCACUGCCCAACAGUGGAAAUGCACUCGAAACUGCGUAGCUAGAGUACAGGAGGGGAGAGCGGAAUUCUUGGUGUAGCGGUGAAAUGCGUUGAUAUCAAGAAGAACACCGGUGGCGAAGGCGGCUCUCUGGAAUGUUACUGACACUGGUGCACGAAAGCUGGGGGAGCGAACAGGAUUAGAUACCCUGGUAGUCCCAGCCGUAAACGGUGCGCACUUGGUGUGGGAGGUAUUGACCCCUUCCGUGCCGGAGCUAACGCGUUAAGUGCGCCGCCUGGGGAGUACGGCCGCAAGGCUAAAACUCAAAGAAAUUGACGGGGGCCCGCACAAGCGGAGGAGCAUGUGGCUUAAUUCGAUGCAACGCGAAGAACCUUACCAGGGCUUGACAUGCAGCUGCAAGCCCCCCGAAAGGGGGGAAGCCUUCGAGGGUGCUGCACAGGUGCUGCAUGGCUGUCGUCAGUUCGUGCCGUGAGGUGUUGGGUUAAGUCCCGCAACGAACGCAACCCUUGUGUCUAGUUGCCACUUCGCCUUUGGCGGAAGCACUCUAGACAGACUGCCCGUACAAGCGGGAGGAAGGUGGGGACGACGUCAAGUCAGUAUGGCCCUUACGCCCUGGGCUGCACACGUGCUACAAUGGUCGGUACAGAGGGACGCAAUGCCGCGAGGUGGAGCAAAUCCCCAAAACCGGCCUCAGUUCGGAUUGGAGUCUGCAACUCGACUCCAUGAAGUCGGAUUCGCUAGUAACGGCGUAUCAGCUACGACGCCGUGAAUACGUUCCCGGGCCUUGUACACACCGCCCGUCACAUCAUGAAAGCCGUCUGCACCCGAAGUCACUGAGCCAACUUUUACGAGAGGCAGGUGCCGAAGGUGUGGGUGGUGAUUGGGAUGAAGUCGAAACAAGGUA